GGAAGGCGGGAUGAUAACGGAAUCAAUGGAGAGGCCUGAGUAGGGUUAAUGCGGGCCCGAAGAUGUAGCUAGCAGGAGUAUGACAAUUAGUGGGAAAGUCUGAGCACGAGAGGCAUGCCAAAGCCAUCAGUUCCAGUCUUGUUAUUUCCAAAAAGCCCUGAAGCCAGUCUUGCAAAGAGGUGGUGGUGGCCAUGCAGUUGGAUACCUGGAACUCUUAGCUCUCUGUAGAAUGCCAGGACACCAAAGGCUGGAAGCCUUAGCCGUGCCUUGUCAGGAAAAACUCUGUGAAGGCUCGUCUGUAUUAAACAGUGGUUACAAGGAGCAGGUCUGUGCCAAAUCGAAGACAUGCAGCUGCCAGAUCUUGAAUACAAACCUUAAAAACCUCACAAACAUCAAGUUCCAGAGGAGUCUCCAAGUCCUAGAACUUCUAGGACACUGUUGGCUUCAGGAAAACUGGUCACUUCAGAGCCCAAUGCUAAGGACCCCUAUUUCCCAACUUUGUGAUCUUAAGCAAGCUGCACCUCCAUUUUGCCCAUCGGUCUAAUAACAAUACAGCCAUGAUGAGAUGGACCUCAGAGGGUGAGAAGUGUUCGGCUCUGUCUGGAAUGUAGAAAAUUCUAGAUAAAUGUUGGCUACCAAAAUUAUGGCAGCUGUUUAGAAUCCU
This 664-nucleotide long non-coding RNA is filed under the name Mus caroli (Ryukyu mouse). Its description in RNAcentral is "Foxp3 regulating long intergenic noncoding RNA (MGP_CAROLIEiJ_G0004266.1)". The record is from RNAcentral. Lineage: Eukaryota; Metazoa; Chordata; Mammalia; Rodentia; Muridae.